UACGUAGGGGCCGAGCGUUGUCCGGAGUUAUUGGGCGUAAAGCGCGCGCAGGCGGCCUCGCGCGCCCGACGUGAAAGCCCCCGGCUUAACCGGGGAGGGUCGUUGGGGACGGCGGGGCUUGAGGGCGGGAGAGGUCGGUGGAAUUCCCGGUGUAGUGGUGAAAUGCGUAGAUAUCUGGAGGAACACCGGUGGCGAAGGCGGCAUCCUGGACCGGUAUUGACGCUGAGGCGCGAAAGCCAGGGGAGCAAACGGG
This 253-nucleotide ribosomal RNA is filed under the name uncultured bacterium. Its description in RNAcentral is "partial 16S ribosomal RNA". It matches the Rfam family "Bacterial small subunit ribosomal RNA", at positions 524 to 776 of the family's 1533-position model. The record is from RNAcentral.